GCCUCCGCUCCGUUUCCCCAUUCCACCACCGCAACCACCCUUCCACCGUGCAUCCCGAGCCACCUCCACCAUACGCCGCCUCCAGCCGUGUGCCACCGUCGCCUUAGCCGCCGCCGCGUCGCUCCGUCUUCACCUCUCGCCUCGCAGCGCCGUGCAGCACCUCGGUCACCGUUGUUCAUCGCCGGAAACCCACCGGAACGUGGUACCUCUCGGUCGCCGGUCUUGCCGGCCCUCGGCCGCGGCUCCGCCAUGGUCGGGCGUCGUCGGACCGCCGUUCCCGUCGCCUCCCGUGUCGGCCGCCGCCAUCCUUUCCGCCGCCGGUCGCCUCCCCAUGGUCGUCCCGUCGCCGGCGCUCCUCGCGUGUAGUUUCCGUCGUUUCGGAAGUCCGCGGUCGCGAG
Oryza sativa Japonica Group (Japanese rice) is the source of this 398-nucleotide non-coding RNA. NCBI's taxonomy places the organism in Eukaryota, Viridiplantae, Streptophyta, Magnoliopsida, Poales, Poaceae. The record is from RefSeq and is a predicted model, not a curated record.